Molecule: ribosomal RNA, 160 nt
Filed under: Pseudomonas indica
Lineage: Bacteria; Pseudomonadati; Pseudomonadota; Gammaproteobacteria; Pseudomonadales; Pseudomonadaceae
Description: partial 16S ribosomal RNA
Rfam family: Bacterial small subunit ribosomal RNA
Source: RNAcentral
UUCUUACGGGAGGCAGCAGUGGGGAAUAUUGGACAAUGGGGGAAACCUUGAUCCAGCCAUGCGGCGUGUGUGAAGAAGGUUUUCGGAUUAAAAGCACUUUAAGUUGGGAGGAAGGGCAGUAAGUUAUUACCUUGGAGAGUGACGUACUGACAGAAUAGCC